GAGGCCACUGGGCUCAGGACAGGGCACACGGCCCGAGGGGAGGCACCGCCUUUAGACACGGUGGCUCUGGCCAGGCAGACUCAUCUUGAGUUUUAUGUUUUGGGUUUUUUGGGGGGGUUCUUUGGCUGAUAAUCCUGGCUCUGCCAUGUAUUAGUCGUGAGACCUUGAGCUAUUCACGUGCUCAUUCUGGCCUCUGUCUCCUCCUGUGCGAUCGGAACUAUUGCUUAGGGAUUGCAAGACACCAAACGAUUUAAUAAAUGAAAGCCUUUGGCAUAGCACCUGACACGGCAGGGUCCUGAUGAGAGGUGGUGAUGACAGUGACGAAGAAGAUGAUGGAGACGAGGGCGACAGAGGAAGAGCUGCACGCUGAGGCGGCAGGAGCAGGGAGGGACCCUCGGGCAACGCCGGAGGCGCAGAGGGCGUCUGGAAGCACGACUGCGUCCCGAUGUGCUGGGUUUGCACACUCCAGAUGAGGAAACGGAGGCUCAGAAACUUGCCGGGAUCUAACCCUCUCACUCGCUGCGUUCACUGGGCCAAAGUGACUAUGAAGAGCAGGUCCGAUUAACCCAGCAGCUGAGGCUCCAUCUCUGCUCCUGGGCUGCAGGGCCCCUCCCCAGCUCCAAUCCCAGCCUCCCCAUUCCCAGGCCCAGGAGGGAGGGCGCCCGCCAGAGACACACACGACCCGAAUCUGGCAGCAAAAGGAGGGAAACUGGCACUUGUCAGGCCACAACCCCCGUGCCCGGCACUUCCGUGUAUUCUCUUCUAAUUCCAUCUCUUCCCCCUGGACAGUGAAGAUGCCCAUUCACACAAGCGGAGGCUCAGAGAUGGUGAGCGAGGCUGCACAGGGGCACAGGUGCCAGGAUCCGGCCGGACGGUUCGAAUCCGUGCUUCUGCUGCACCAGACUCCCGCUCGGCUCUGUCUAGCUGCCUGUGGGGUCCUGGGACACCUGCCGUGUCGCCUCUGUCCAUCACCAAAGCCCCAGCCCCACCCGAGCCCCGGGUCCAUGAGCAGCAGGCCGGGAACACGAGGGAAAGAGGAGGACCCUGGAGCCUUGGGCAGCUCCCAGCUGCCCGGCUACAUGCGCCGCAGCCCCAGCCUGAUGUCCCUGAUCCAGCCUCCUCUCUGCAGACCCCGUCCAGGUGCCUCGCAGGAACGCUGAUCCCUGGGCAGCUUCUGCUAAGUCCCCGCCAAGAGGCUGGGCCCUGUUUGCCUCACACACUGGUCCCGUGCCCCCCACCCAGCAUCCUGCUAUAACAUGGACAGGCCCUGGCGCUGCCCAUGGCUCCGUGCUACCCAGAAUGCCCUUGAAUGUCCGUGGCUGACUC
Molecule: long non-coding RNA, 1326 nt
Filed under: Sus scrofa (pig)
Lineage: Eukaryota; Metazoa; Chordata; Mammalia; Artiodactyla; Suidae
Description: lncRNA (ENSSSCG00045027646.1)
Source: RNAcentral